AGCUGCACCGCCCUCUGCAUCCUUCCAGGCGCCCUGUGGUUCGCUGUGCCUGCUCCAAGACUGGCUCUCUUUGAGGUCUCGGGUUUCCUCCCAGUCCCGCAUCCACUGGGGGGCCGGAGGAGCAAGAGAAUGUCACAGCUUCCCCUCCCGGGAUCCGAGAUCCUAACUAAGGGAAUCCCCUUGCCUCUCCCCACUGGGGCGCAGUCUGACGUGCUUGCUGCUCUGAGCACGCACACAGUUACCGGUGUAUUUAAUUUAUUCUAUUUUUAAUGAAAUGAGAGGGCUGCUGUCAGGGUGACAUCUGCAUUGGUGGAGUUAGAGUGAAGUCUUUCACCGAACUGUCCUCCAGGCUCCGCAGUCCUAGCAAGCCCCAGGCACUCGCCUUUCCCAGAGACAGAUGCCGAGCUCCACGUCGGAAUGCUAAGUGUCCACCGCAUUGCUUUAAGGAUCAUGCAAAGGGUGUCAUGGUGCCCAACUUAUUACUUGAACGCUGGGAUCUAACUCCCUUCUUUACGAAGAGCAAGCUUUCAUGACUACAGAGCCACCACCCAGACCCACUCCCUUGCUGCUGCUUUUAAACUGUAUACCAGCCAGAUGUGAUGCUGCAUAUGUGUAAUCCAAGCCCUUGGGAGUUGAGGCAGGAUAAUCAGGAGUCCAGUAAUUCACAACUCAUAACAAGUUCAAGGCCAGCCUGUUCAAAUGCUAUCUUGUCUCAAAAAUAAAUAAACAAUAAAUAAAU
Molecule: long non-coding RNA, 739 nt
Organism: Rattus norvegicus (Norway rat)
Lineage: Eukaryota; Metazoa; Chordata; Mammalia; Rodentia; Muridae
Gene: Ptgs2os
Product: prostaglandin-endoperoxide synthase 2, opposite strand
Exons: 2
Source: RefSeq, marked validated